AGAAUUAGAAGUUUGAAUCCUGGGCCUCAGAUUGAACGCUGGCCGCAUGCUUACACAUGCAAGUCGAACGGUAACAGGGAGCUUGUCCCGCUGACGAGUGGCGAACGGGUGAGUAAUGCAUCGGAACGUACCCAGUCGUGGGGGAUAACGUAGCGAAAGUUACGCUAAUACCGCAUACGUCCUGAGGGAGAAAGCGGGGGACCGUAAGGCCUCGCGCGAUUGGAGCGGCCGAUGUCGGAUUAGCUAGUUGGUAGGGUAAAGGCCUACCAAGGCGACGAUCCGUAGCGGGUCUGAGAGGAUGAUCCGCCACACUGGGACUGAGACACGGCCCAGACUCCUACGGGAGGCAGCAGUGGGGAAUUUUGGACAAUGGGCGAAAGCCUGAUCCAGCCAUGCCGCGUGAGUGAAGAAGGCUUCGGGUUGUAAAGCUUUUCAGCCGGAAAGAAAUCGCGCAGGAUAAUACUCUGCGUGGAUGACGGUACCGGAAGAAGACGCACCGGCUAACUACGUGCCAGCAGCCGCGUAAUACGUA
RNAcentral lists this ribosomal RNA (532 nucleotides) under uncultured bacterium. Its description in RNAcentral is "bacterial SSU rRNA". It matches the Rfam family "Bacterial small subunit ribosomal RNA", at positions 1 to 529 of the family's 1533-position model. The record is from RNAcentral.